RNAcentral lists this long non-coding RNA (719 nucleotides) under Homo sapiens (human). RNAcentral describes it as "HSALNT0167380". Lineage: Eukaryota; Metazoa; Chordata; Mammalia; Primates; Hominidae. The record is from RNAcentral.
CUCUGAACUUCAGUUUUCCUACUUGUUCAAUGGAGGUAAUAGCACCUUCUUCCAAAGGUCCUCAUGAAAGGUAAAUGAGUCGGCAAGUGUAAAAGGCCUAGGGCAGUGCCUGGCAUUAGUGCAUGCUCAAGUAAGGCAGUUUUUUCUUCCUUCCUAAGCUUCUACCUUCCACAUGUGUAAUCUAGGAGAGGGAAAUCUCAGAUUCACAGGAGGCAAAGACCUUUAUAGGGUGGGUUGUAGUCCCCCUGUCCACCCAGAUGAUCACCAUUGUGUUGGUCAGCAUGGAAUCUGACCAAGCUAGUUGUUUGGAAUGAGUGGCCUUAGGCGUAAGUGGUCACAGGAUUGGAGGAAGGCAAAUUCAUGGACAGAAAAGAGAGAAGGAGGUCAAGCCAUAGGUUACAGAGGAUAAAGCUAGUGUCCCAGGUGGGGUGGUCAGUUGUCUCAAAUCACUCAGGUAUUGAGGAGCGAAUCUUGCGUUCAAACCUAGGUAUCCACAAUUUCGGGCCAGUGUUCUGUUGCCUUAUGUUCUCUCUACUCCCUCUAGUGCUGACCUUUGUCUGGGAGAAUGCAGGGAGGGGGUGCACUCAGGCAGGGGAUGCUGCCAAGGAAAUACUUGUGUGAGUGUGGAUGGCUUCAGUCAGGUCCUCUCUGCUCCUGGUGGGGGUGGAGAUGGGGAAACCUGGGGGUGGGAGACUCCACAGUGUACAAGCUCCCCUAUC